Acanthosepion pharaonis is the source of this 87-nucleotide non-coding RNA. Lineage: Eukaryota; Metazoa; Mollusca; Cephalopoda; Sepiida; Sepiidae. The record is from the annotation of a GenBank genome assembly.
UUCUCUUCGGGAAUACCAAAGUUAAGCAAUGUUGAGCCUGGCCAGUACCUAGAUGGGUGACCACUUGGGAAUAUGAGGUGCUGUAAG